UGGCGGCGCGUUUAAGCAUGCAAGUCGAGCGGCAGGGCCUUCGGGCCCUAGAGCGGCGGACGGGUGAGUAACACGUGGACAAUCUGCCCCCGGCCCGGGAUAGCCCAGGGAAACCUGGAUUAAUACCGGAUGAGACGGGACCCGCGAUGGCGGGACCCGGGAAGGCGCUGCGGCGCCGCCGGGGGAUGAGUCUGCGUCCCAUUAGCUAGACGGCGGGGUAACGGCCCACCGUGGCGACGAUGGGUAGCCGGCCUGAGAGGGUGGACGGCCACAUUGGAACUGAGACACGGUCCAGACUCCUACGGGAGGCAGCAGCUAAGAAUCUUCCGCAAUGGGCGAAAGCCUGACGGAGCGACGCCCGCGUGAACGAAGAAGGCCGUGAGGUUGUAAAGUUCUUUUCGGGAGGGGGAACAACCGUGGCAGGGAAUGGCCGCGGGAUGACGUGAAUCCCGGAAUAAGCCCCGGCUAACUACGUGCCAGCCGCUGC
Molecule: ribosomal RNA, 487 nt
Filed under: uncultured bacterium
Lineage: Bacteria
Description: bacterial SSU rRNA
Rfam family: Bacterial small subunit ribosomal RNA
Source: RNAcentral